This 292-nucleotide ribosomal RNA is filed under the name uncultured bacterium. RNAcentral's name for it is "partial 16S ribosomal RNA". It matches the Rfam family "Bacterial small subunit ribosomal RNA", at positions 505 to 796 of the family's 1533-position model. The record is from RNAcentral.
GUGCCAGCCGCCGCGGUAAGACGUAGGAGGCGAGCGUUAUCCGGAUUCACUGGGCGUAAAGCGCAUGUAGGCGGCUGUCCAAGUCAUGUGUUAAAGCCCCCGGCUCAACUGGGGGAGGUCAUGUGAGACUGGUCGGCUUGAGGGCAGCAGAGGCACGUGGAACUCCCGGUGUAGCGGUGGAAUGCGUAGAGAUCGGGAAGAACACCCGUGGCGAAGGCGGCGUGCUGGGCUGCGACUGACGCUGAGAUGCGAAAGUGUGGGGAGCAAACGGGAUUAGAAACCCCCGUAGUCC